This 66-nucleotide transfer RNA is filed under the name Abacion magnum. RNAcentral describes it as "tRNA-Ser". Lineage: Eukaryota; Metazoa; Arthropoda; Diplopoda; Callipodida; Callipodidae. The record is from RNAcentral.
CUAUUAAAGAAUUAAACAAAAUAGAAGCUGCUAACUUACUAUUAUAGCAAUAAUGUUAUUAAUUCU